Molecule: ribosomal RNA, 435 nt
Filed under: uncultured bacterium
Lineage: Bacteria
Description: bacterial SSU rRNA
Rfam family: Bacterial small subunit ribosomal RNA
Source: RNAcentral
GUGAGGAAUUUUGCGCAAUGGGGGAAACCCUGACGCAGCGACGCCGCGUGGAGGAUGAAGGCCUUCGGGUCGUAAACUCCUGUCAGAGGUGAAGAAGCCCGCAAGGGUUGACGGUAACCUCAGAGGAAGCCCCGGCCAACUACGUGCCAGCAGCCGCGGUAAUACGUAGGGGGCGAGCGUUGCUCGGAAUUACUGGGCGUAAAGGGUGUGUAGGCGGCUGAGCAAGUCGUGGAUGAAAUCCCGAGGCUUAACCUCGGAAUUGUCCUCGAUACUGCUCGGCUUGAGGGCAGUGGAGGAGAAUGGAAUUCCCGGUGGAGCGGUGAAAUGCGUAGAUAUCGGGAGGAACACCUGAGGCGAAAGCGAUUCUCUAUGCUGUUCCUGACGCUGAAACACGAAAGCUAGGGGAGCGAACGGGAUUAGAAACCCCGGUAGUCC